This is a long non-coding RNA of Sapajus apella (tufted capuchin), 124 nucleotides long. RefSeq lists it as uncharacterized. Lineage: Eukaryota; Metazoa; Chordata; Mammalia; Primates; Cebidae. The record is from RefSeq and is a predicted model, not a curated record. The transcript has 2 exons.
GUAACACUGGGCAAGAUCCUUAACCUCUCUGUUUCUCCAUCUACAAAUGAAGAGUCACUUCCUCAGACUGUAGCAGUAAGAAUUAAGUGAGAUGCUUAGCACAUGGCAAAUAUCAUACUUUUAA